RNAcentral lists this ribosomal RNA (254 nucleotides) under uncultured bacterium. Its description in RNAcentral is "partial 16S ribosomal RNA". It matches the Rfam family "Bacterial small subunit ribosomal RNA", at positions 524 to 776 of the family's 1533-position model. The record is from RNAcentral.
UACGAAGGGGGCUAGCGUCGUUCGGAAUCACUGGGCGUAAAGCGUAUGCAGGCGGAUCGUUAAGUCGGGGGUGAAAUCCCGAGGCUCAACCUCGGAACUGCCUUCGAUACUGGCGAUCUUUGAGUCCGGGAGAGGUGAGUGGAAUUGCGAGUGUAGAGGUGAAAUUCGUAGAUAUUCGCAAGAACACCAGUGGCGAAGGCGGCUCACUGGUCCGCAACUGACGCUGAGGUGCGAAAGCGUGGGGAGCAAACAGG